GUUAGCAACACUAUUUUUGCAUAUUCCUCCUCUGGAGCUCCUCUAACCGUACAUACCCCAUUCAUACCGAAAUCCGUUUUUUUUCUUGACCGCCAAAGUAAUCGGAAUCGAUAACUGAUUUUGGACGACCUUUACCAAAUCCAUCCCGAGGUGAUCUACCACAUCGAUUGAUUUCAUCAUAACCUCGAUAAGCCCAGGCCCUUGAUGGAGCCUCAUUGCAAAAAACUAAGUUAAGUUCAAAAAUAAUUGUUCGCAAAUGUUCCCUGUUUUAAUUUAAUUUAAUUUUAUUUAUUUGCCGAGAUGUACAUAUAUUUCAAGUUACUGUAAACAACAAAAAUAGCGGUCGUAUAUCAAAACGUUAUCGUCAGCUGUUCUUGCUGACGUCACGGUUGACUUAUUAUUCGCCCGCGCCUUUGAAUGUGAAAGAAAUUUGCAGUUUGAAAUGGGUUUAAGUUCGCGGAGUCUAACGAAGUUGCUACCUAGCGCUUUUCUCACGUUAACCAGAUUAACUCCUGCAGAGGCUAAUGAACGGCAGAAAAGGAUGGAGUCUUGUUUAAACCACUGUUUCUUAUCCUAAUUGCAAUAUUUUUCAACGUGUGUCAGUUGAUCUAUUCUGACCCA
Molecule: long non-coding RNA, 621 nt
Filed under: Bactrocera tryoni
Lineage: Eukaryota; Metazoa; Arthropoda; Insecta; Diptera; Tephritidae
Description: uncharacterized LOC120782359, transcript variant X1
Source: RNAcentral